AGUGAACGCUGGCGGUAGGCCUAACACAUGCAAGUCGAACGGCAGCAGAGAAAGAGCUCGCUCAUACGGGGGGCGAGGGGCGGGCGGGUGCGGAAUACAUCGGAGUCUACGGGGGAGAGGGGGAGAACGCAGGGGAACAUACGCUAAAACCCCAGACGGCCAACGGGUGGGAGCAGCGGAUCUUAGGACAUUGCGCGAGUGAAUGAGGCGAUGUCGGAUUAGCUAGUUGGCGGGGUAAAGGCCCACCAAGGCGACGAUCCGUAGCUGGUCUGAGAGGAUGAUCAGCCACACUGGAACUGAGACACGGUCCAGACUCCUACGGGAGGCAGCAGUGGGGAAUAUUGGACAAUGGGCGCAAGCCUGAUCCAGCCAUGCCGCGUGUGUGAAGAAGGCCUUCGGGUUGUAAAGCCCUUUUAUUUGGGAAGAAGAGCAGCAAGUUAAUACCUCGCUGUUCUGACGUUACCCACAGAAUAAGCACCGGCUAACUUCGUG
This 492-nucleotide ribosomal RNA is filed under the name uncultured bacterium. RNAcentral describes it as "partial 16S ribosomal RNA". It matches the Rfam family "Bacterial small subunit ribosomal RNA", at positions 30 to 507 of the family's 1533-position model. The record is from RNAcentral.